GAUGAACGCUGGCGGCGUGCCUAAUACAUGCAAGUCGAGCGAACAGACGAGGAGCUUGCUCCUCUGACGUUAGCGGCGGACGGGUGAGUAACACGUGGAUAACCUACCUAUAAGACUGGGAUAACUUCGGGAAACCGGAGCUAAUACCGGAUAACAUGUUGAACCGAAUGGUUCAACAGUGAAAGACGGUCUUGCUGUCACUUAUAGAUGGAUCCGCGCCGCAUUAGCUAGUUGGUAAGGUAACGGCUUACCAAGGCAACGAUGCGUAGCCGACCUGAGAGGGUGAUCGGCCACACUGGAACUGAGACACGGCCCAGACUCCUACGGGAGGCAGCAGUAGGGAAUCUUCCGCAAUGGGCGAAAGCCUGACGGAGCAACGCCGCGUGAGUGAAGAAGGUCUUCGGAUCUUAAAACUCUGUUAUUAGGGAAGAACAAAUGUGUAAGUAACUAUGCACGUCUUGACGGUACCUAAUCAGAAAGCCACGGCUAACUACGUG
This 497-nucleotide ribosomal RNA is filed under the name uncultured bacterium. RNAcentral's name for it is "partial 16S ribosomal RNA". It matches the Rfam family "Bacterial small subunit ribosomal RNA", at positions 28 to 507 of the family's 1533-position model. The record is from RNAcentral.